GACGAACGCUGGCGGCGUGCUUAACACAUGCAAGUCGAACGGAAAGGCCCUUUCGGGGGUACUCGAGUGGCGAACGGGUGAGUAACACGUGGGUGAUCUGCCCUGCACUUUGGGAUAAGCCUGGGAAACUGGGUCUAAUACCGGAUAUACCUCAUGGAUCGCAUGGUUUGUGGGGGAAAGCUUUUGCGGUGUGGGAUGGGCCCGCGGCCUAUCAGCUUGUUGGUGGGGUGAUGGCCUACCAAGGCGACGACGGGUAGCCGGCCUGAGAGGGUGACCGGCCACACUGGGACUGAGAUACGGCCCAGACUCCUACGGGAGGCAGCAGUGGGGAAUAUUGCACAAUGGGCGCAAGCCUGAUGCAGCGACGCCGCGUGAGGGAUGACGGCCUUCGGGUUGUAAACCUCUUUCAGUCACGACGAAGCGCAAGUGACGGUAGUGACAGAAGAAGGACCGGCCAACUACGUGCCAGCCGCCGCAGUAACAC
This 484-nucleotide ribosomal RNA is filed under the name uncultured bacterium. Its description in RNAcentral is "bacterial SSU rRNA". It matches the Rfam family "Bacterial small subunit ribosomal RNA", at positions 28 to 526 of the family's 1533-position model. The record is from RNAcentral.